GACGGAGGGUGCUAGCGUUGUUCGGAAUUACUGGGCGUAAAGGGCGCGUAGGCGGCCGCUUGCGUCAGAUGUGAAAGCCCGGGGCUCAACCCCGGAACGGCAUCCGAUACGGGGCGGCUGGAGACCGGGAGAGGAGGGUGGAAUAGCCAGUGUAGAGGUGAAAUUCGUAGAUAUUGGCUGGAACACCGGUGGCGAAAGCGGCUCUCUGGCCCGGUUCUGACGCUGAGGCGCGAAAGCGUGGGGAGCAAACAGG
RNAcentral lists this ribosomal RNA (253 nucleotides) under uncultured bacterium. RNAcentral's name for it is "partial 16S ribosomal RNA". It matches the Rfam family "Bacterial small subunit ribosomal RNA", at positions 524 to 776 of the family's 1533-position model. The record is from RNAcentral.